CGCACCGGUGGUCUAGUGGUUAGAAUGUCCGCCUCUGAUGCGGAAGGUCGUGGGUUCGAUCCACGGUCGAGUAA
Molecule: non-coding RNA, 74 nt
Organism: Potamilus streckersoni
Lineage: Eukaryota; Metazoa; Mollusca; Bivalvia; Unionida; Unionidae
Source: the annotation of a GenBank genome assembly